GUCAGGCACAAGUCAAUCUUCAGUCGUUCAAAGAUCUCCUUCAGUAACUGGAUGCAAUUCAUGUACAGAUUUUGUCAGGGUCUACGAUUACGACAGAUUGACAUGAUGGAUGACAGCAUUGCGGCCAGUUCAGCAACUCUCAGUAAAAUGGCUAAAAAACUAAGGGAGGUCUGUGUCACGGCGGUUGAAAGGAUGAGGAGGCGUACAGGCCAGAAGAUUGGUGGAAGAAGAGAGUUUGUUGUGAUUGAUGAGAGCCAUUUUCGGCACAAAAGAAAGUACGGGAGAGGACGAAUGGUUGGUGGAUGGAAGAGAAAGAAGUGGGUUUUUGGGAUGUUAGGUGUCAAGCAUCAUCAAGGACGAACAUCAAGAAAGCCUGUUCUACGUCUUGUGGAGAGAAGAUCUCGAGGACAUCUAGUCCCCUUAAUCGCCCAUCAUGUGAGGCGUGGAUCAUCAAUAAUCAGUGAUGAGUGGCGUGCCUAUCGCAUACUCCCUGCACUAGGGUACAACCAUCA
Long non-coding RNA from Etheostoma spectabile (orangethroat darter), 512 nucleotides. RefSeq lists it as uncharacterized. NCBI's taxonomy places the organism in Eukaryota, Metazoa, Chordata, Actinopteri, Perciformes, Percidae. The transcript is spliced from 3 exons. The record is from RefSeq and is a predicted model, not a curated record.